Molecule: ribosomal RNA, 428 nt
Filed under: uncultured bacterium
Lineage: Bacteria
Description: bacterial SSU rRNA
Rfam family: Bacterial small subunit ribosomal RNA
Source: RNAcentral
UGGGGAAUAUUGGACAAUGGGCGCAAGCCUGAUCCAGCAAUACCGCGUGUGUGAAGAAGGCCUGAGGGUUGUAAAGCACUUUCAAUGGGGAGGAACACCUGCUGGUUAAUACCCGGCAGACUGACAUUACCCAUACAAGAAGCACCGGCUAACUCCGUGCCAGCAGCCGCGGUAAUACGGAGGGUGCGAGCGUUAAUCGGAAUUACUGGGCGUAAAGCGUGCGUAGGCGGCCGUUUAAGUCAGAUGUGAAAGCCCUGGGCUUAACCUGGGAACUGCAUUUGAUACUGGACGGCUAGAGUUUGGUAGAGGGGGGCGGAAUUUCAGGUGUAGCGGUGAAAUGCGUAGAGAUCUGAAGGAACACCAGUGGCGAAGGCGGCCUCCUGGACCAAAACUGACGCUGAGGUACGAAAGCGUGGGUAGCAAACAGG